Neofelis nebulosa (Clouded leopard) is the source of this 6785-nucleotide long non-coding RNA. RefSeq lists it as uncharacterized. The record is from RefSeq and is a predicted model, not a curated record. Lineage: Eukaryota; Metazoa; Chordata; Mammalia; Carnivora; Felidae. The transcript is spliced from 3 exons.
AAAAAUUUUUAAUUUUAAUAAAGUCUGAUUUAUUUUUUCUUUGGUUGCUUGUGCUUUGAGUGUCUUAUCUGAGAAACCAUUAACUAAUCCAAGAGCAUGAAGAUUUACAUCUGUGUUUAAUAUUUAAGAGUUUUAUGGACUUAGCUCUUACAUUUUGGUCUUUGAUCCAUUUUGAAUUAUUUUUUGUACAUGCUGUGAGGUGGAGGUUCCACUUUGUUCUUUUGCAUGCGGAUAUCCAGUUGUUCCAUUUAUUGAAAAGACUAUUUUUUUCUCUCCACUAAAUGGUCCUGGUACCCUUGUCAGUUGAGUAGAUGUAUGGGUUUUUUUCUAGACUCUCAGUUAUAUUCCAUUGACCUGUAUGCCUAUUGUUAUAUGAGUACCAGCCUGUUUUGAUUACUUUGUAAUAAAUUUCAAAAUCCUUCUACAUAAUUCUUUAAACGUUUUAUUUUAAGAUAAUUAUAGAUUCACAUAGGAUUAUAAGAAAUAGUAGAGAGAUAUUCUAUCCUGUUUCUUUUAAUGGUAACAACUUGCAUAACAGUAGUACAAGAGCACAACCAGAAAAUUGACAUUGAUACAGUUUUAUUAACCUUAUUCAGAUUUCACCAGUUUUACAUGCACUAAUUUGUGUACAUGUAUUUAUGCCAUAGAAUUUUAUUCUGAGUGUUUCUAUAUUGAAGAUAGUUGAGUAUGUUACCAUAUUUCUUUAAAACGAGGAUUUGUGUAUAAAUAAUUUUUUUUCAAUUUCAUGUUACCAUGAGACCUUAUGUUACCAUGAGACCUUUUUCUGAAUUAACUAAUCAUUAUGAUUAUUUUUAGUGCGCAGAUGAGCAAACCAUAUAAAUGUAAUGGACAUUUUUAGAAAUAAUAAUUAAACAUAAUAGGUAGAUUUUUAUUGGAAGAGCAUCUCUUAUUGAGAUGAAUAGUACUUCUAAAAAAAUCUGUGGGUAAUAUAACUUGCUGCUAGAAUGAGACAGAACUCAGUGUAAAUCUUAUUCCUCUUUUCUUCCUUUGGUAAAUGUAAAACUGACGAACCUUGUCUGUGCAGUCAUUGUAAACACUUGACAAGGGCAGUAACACGGUGACCUCGGUGCUCUAGGAAUGCUGUUCUGGCUGUGGGCUGCUUAGUAGACUUUGUGGGCAGGUCCCCGAAGCUGUGAAGAUCGCCAGCGGCUUUGGCUGUUAAGACUACUAUGAAUUAUUUUGGUCUUGGGGUAGAGUAUAGCAGGGGGAAUGGAGAUGAAAGGAUGAGUCUGAGGAAGCCUUUGAUGGCAAUUGUAUCAUAAAUUGGUCAUACAUUUGAGGAAGGGGUUAAAAUAGAGGAAGAAGCUAACAAAUGUCACACCCACAUCUUGAGCCUAGGAGAAUGGGGCUAUUUUCUCAUUUCAGGUGGACUUAGUUGGAUGGGAAGAGAUACUCCUCCCACAAGAUUAGUGUAAUAUUUCAAAUUAAUAGGUAAGAAUGUAUCUAGAAACCUGUAAGAGGUGAGGGGGCCACACAAAGCAGAGCCGAAUAUAGCUUGUGUCAGAGCCAUAUUUUUUGGCUCCUGGUUUCUUUGCAGGGUUGAGUUUUGUUGAUUCUGGAACUCCCAGUUUUUGCUGUUGCACUGCCCUGUUACGCUCUGAGUUUUAAUUUUAUUAUUUAGAAAAACAUAAUACAAAUUAUCUUCUGAUGGAUGUUUAAGGAAAUGAUUUACAUAAGCUAUUGGACUCCUGGUUCUUGAGCCAAACUAGGCAUCCACAAGACACCUCCUCAUCUGGGGGUAUAGAGUCAGAUCACUGUCUAGAUGUCUUUGAACAAAGGCUCGGCCUCUAGUUUUUUUAGCUUCUGAAAUGUUCUUCUCUCCAGAAUGUCAUGGAUACAUAUAUGAGUUUAUCUUGGACUCUCUUUGUAGUAAACUGCUGGUAGUAAGAGCUUGAAAAUUUUUGUUGUUAUGAAUUUUGCUGGAAUUGAUAUUUUUAUUCAUUAGUCAGCAAAUGUUGCAUGAACAUCCAUGAUGUUUUAGGCACUGGAGAAAAAAAAAAGGUGAAUGAGAUAUAUCCUUGAGAAAAUCAUGGUUGUCUAGUAGGUAGAGAUGUUUCUCUGUAUCAGUAAGAGACCACGUGAUAAGUCUGAACACAGAGAAGGCAUAAUUCAACUCAGCAUCAAAAACGUUGGGCACGGUUUCCAGAGUUCCAAGGGACAUUGAACUGAGAUCUGAAAGGGUGGUUAGGAUUUACUAGGUGGGGAAGCAACAGGGAGGGAAGAUAGAGAUAGGAUGUGCUAAGGCCUGGGGACUUAAGGACAGGUAAGUUGAGGGAAGAGAGUGACAUUCAGUAUUGCUGCACUUUAGGCUGCUCAGUCUGGGGAGCAGUAGCUAGAGAUGGAGCAGGAGAGGUAAGGUGGGGUUGGAUUGUGAUGGGCCUUAUGUCCAUCAAGGCAGACAGAGGUUUCCAGGCAGGUUUGACAUGAUCAGACCGGCCUUUGAGGAAGAUGACAGAUUGCUCUGUAGAGAACUGGUCAGAUCAGGGAGCUAGGCUGAGCUGUUGCAGAGACCAAACUUGGAUGAGGAGAAUUUGAACCAAGGCAUUGGCAUGGACAGUGGGAAUAGAGAAUGGACAAAAAGGUUUUGUAGGUGAAUGAAUGGGGUGAGGUAAAGGAACAAUUGAUGAGUUGAAAGAGGGUGCAUGAUGACAAAAUGUUGGAAAAAAUCAGUAAAAGAAGGGGAUUUAAUUUUUUGACAUAAGAAAUAUUCGUCUCAAAUAUGGGUCUUGCUUUGUGCUGGAAAUGUAGUUUGGGUGGUUACCACCAUAUAGAUGGUAGGUAGGUGAAGCCAUGAAUACAGAUGUGAUUCAGGGGGAUCAUGGAGGACUGGAUCCAGGACAGCUCCUAGGACAGAGCCCAGGAUGUGAACAAAGGAAUUGUCCCUUGAUUUUAUUGAGUCUUUCAAGGUCGAUGAUUUAUUAUUUUUAAAAAAUAUGAGGGAGCCAUAUUAUUUCAUGGUAGUUUUAGUUAUCAUUGUGGAUGAGUAUGGUAAGGUAUCCUAAACAUUUAGGCAUAUAGCACUCAUUUGUAAUGUUACAUGAUUUAUUAUAGUUGUAGAUUUACUAUUUUUUUUUUAAUAAUUGGGACAAAUGCUUAAUCUGUUACAUUUUAGGGCCAUUAGUAUGAAUGAAUUUUCUUGAUGAACUUUUUUCAUUGUAUUUUGAUUUUAAGGAAUUAUGUAAAACAUUUUUACUAAAGGUGAAGCUUUGGAAUGUGGAAAUAUUUUCAGUAUUUCAGUGCCAAAAAUUCAGCUACUUUAACACCUAGAAAUUCCAAUAUUGUGUAUGGAAGAUUUGCUCUUAAUUUGUAGUAUGUAUUAGAAUCAUUUGUGGAGCUUUUAAAGACACCAGUGCAAUGCUAGAUCCCAGCUGAGAGAGGUUUAUGUCGGGGCCCUACCAUUUGUGUUUUUUUUCGUGAUUUGGUGUAUAUUCUAGGUGAGAACUCUGUAUCGGGUUUGAUUAGGAGCUUUGUUAGUAUGUUUUGCUUCUUGCUUAUAUGGUUAGCUUCUUUGCUUAAAGCUAUGACAGUAGACAGUAGACAGUAGCGCCUGUGGCUGAGUCCAUUAAGAGUCUGACUCUUGGUUUCAGCUCAGGUCAUGAUCUCACGGUUUUGUGGGUUCGAGCCCCGCAUCCGGCUCUGUGCUGGCAGGCAGUGUGGAGCUUGCUUGGUAUUCUCUCUCUCUCCCCCCCUCUCUUUGCUUGGUAUUCUCUCUCUCUCCCUCUCUCUGCCCCUCCUGCACUCAUGCUGUGUCUUUCUCAAAAUAAAUAAAUAAACUUUACAAUAACAAAAAAAAAAAGCUGUGACAGCAAAGGCCAGGAUGGCAGCAAGUUAGUUGAUCUGGCUAUCUGAGCAUUUGAUUUUUUAGUGAAUUUAAAUUAUAAAGCAAAAUUGAAUGGCAGUUUAGUCUGGGCUCAGAGCAUUAGAGGACUGUUUAGGUAAAAUACAGCAUAUCCACACAAUGGAAUACUGUAAAGGGAGUGGCUAUAAAAAGGAACAAGGACUAUGUCUCUAUGUAUGCUAUGUGGUCAUUUUGAGAAUAUAUUGUUAAAUGAUAAAAGCAAGGGGCAGGACAGUGGUAUUGUGGGUUAUGAUUUUUCAAAUAAAGGGGCCUAUAAAUAUGUAAAUAUGUAUUGUUGUGCAUACACACAGACCUACCAAAGGAAUAGUAAACCAGAAACUAAUAAUAAUGGUUACUUUAAGGAGAGGGAGGGGAUUGGGUGCAAGAAACAGCUAUGGAACCUAGACUUAGAAUAUACUUUGUUUUGUGGAUUAGGCUUUAGAAUCACGUAAAUGCCUUACCAUAUUAUAAAACAAAAAUAAAACGAGAGGAAAAAAAUUCCAAAAAAUGAAACACAAAAUGAAAUAAGUGAGCCUAAAUGUAUAUCAGGUUUGAAGCAUACAGAGUAUUUCAAGUGACUCUGAAACAGAGUAAUGUGACUGUAAAUUUCUGCUGGGAUAUACCCCUAAGGACAAAGAGCUGCAAAGAUAUAAACUGAUUUUAAUAAUCAGAUACUUGGGAAUAAUAUUGGUAGUGUUAUUCUGGAGGUUCUGUGUUGUAAGAUUGUAAGCAAGUAGAUAGUUACAUUGGAUUGAGGCCAUAGAUUUUGAUGUGGAAAAGAGAUACAAUCAGAGAUUGGGUAAGAAUCCAGGAAUCUUAAAUUUGAUCAGAAGUGUCAGUAUGAACUCAUGAUAUAUUUUCUUUUCUUUUUCUUUUCUUUUCUUUACUUUUUGAAGUAGGUUUUAUGCCCAGCGUGGGGCUUGAACUCACAAUGCUGAGACUGAGUCGCAUGUUCUACCAACAGAAUCAGUCAGGCGCCCCUGUAUUUUCUUUUUUAAAAAUGUAUUUCCUAGUUCUCUCUACUAAAAAUCUGAGAAACCCACUUGGACAGCAUUAAGCACUUCUAGUUCCAGACUCUAUUCUCUAAAUAAUAAUUCCCACUAAAAGGAACCUAGGGUACCUUGGAAAAAGGAAGCCGGGAAAUCUAUAAAAUGAGCCCAGAACGUCUUUUCAUAUCACAAAACAAGCUAUGGGAAGAUUUCUGUUUGUAUCGAUGGUAGGAUAGCUUUUUCUAAGCUGACACUCCCAACUGAGAACAACUAAAAAAAAAAAAAAGGAAAAUAAUUCAAAAAAUCUGUUUAAGACUUUAGAAAGUGAGCAAGUCAGACAGCAAGGACUUGAAAUAUUCAUAUUUUAGAGAAGGAAAACUCAGAGGGGUGAGGGCAGCUUUCGGUAUAGCUUUUCCCUUAGAGUGAUUGGCUGAUUUGAAUUGUACAUCUAAGAGUUUGAACAAAGGGGUAGCAGAGAGGCUGAGAUUUUAAGUAGAGUUUUUGGUAGUUAUGCAGAGUUAGGGGACAAAAUUGGAGUUCAGGGCCUGCAGAGAAGGAAGAGCAUUGGAAAACACCCCAGGCUUUUAGUUGGGAACUCUGAAGGAUAGGCUAUACCUUAAGGAUUAGCUCUCACAAAGGCUGAAGCCCAGCUUUCAAAUCACCUCAGUCCUUGAUUGGAUUAAGGAAACCUGCUCCUAGCCUUAUUGCUUGCUAGAAGUAAAUGGUAAAUUUUCUCUGGAGAAAGACACCAUCAAUCAUUGAUUCAGUUGUCUGUAUAGUUUUUGUAUAUUUACUGAUAACAUGUAAUAUAUAUUUACGUAUAGCUAUAUAUAUUUUAUGUUAUAUCUACAACAUAUUUAUAAAACUUAGUCUGGCAUUAAAUUAAGAAAUAACCAGAUAUAUAUAAGAAUAAAAGAAUUGACUAAAAAAUCCAGAGAGAAAACACAAUUGAAGCAGACUCAUAGGAGAUUUCUAGUACAGGUGAGAUAGUACAGACCCGUUUUCUCUGCUAAGUCUAUACAUCCUAGAAUUGGUACAGAAGACAACAAAAGGAGAACUCUCAAAGGUUGUAAGAAGAAGAGGUGAGCUGGUUUGGAACCACUGGACUAGAAGAACAAUAUAGCCCUAGGGCUAUAUAUUAUAGUCCCCCUAGCCAACAGAAAAAGGCCUCCCAGACCUUAGGCUUCCUGACUUUCUGACCUGCAAUAGAAUGUAGUCCAGGUAGGCUCAUUCCUUCCAUGAAUCUAAUGCAAGUCCCCAUAGGGGCCCCUGUGUGGCUCAGUUGGUUAAGCAUCCGACUUCGAUUCAGGUCAUGAUGUGGUUCGUGAGUUCGAGCCCCGCAUCAGGCUCUGUGCUCAUAGCUCAGAGCCUGGGGCCUGCUUCAGAUUCUGUGUCUCCCUUGCUCUCUGCCCCUCACCCACUCAUGCUCUGUCUCUCUCCAAAAUAAAUAUUAAAAAAUAAUUUAAUGAAAAUCCCUUUGAAAACAUCAGGCAAGCUUAAUGUCAUAGCCAAGGGGAAUCAAUUAGGAAUCCACUGAAUAUAAGUGUGGAGACAAAGCAGUCUUUUUCCCACUGAUCUUAAGACUUCCCUUUUCCACUGAGAGAUAUCAAGGCAGGUGGGCAGAACUAGCAAGUGAGACUCAGAAUAGCAGUCGUUCCAGUCUGAGAAACUUCUUUGUCCUUGAGGACCUGAGGGUCUCUUCCCCCAACCAAAGAUACCGGGGUGAACACUAGUGGCAAAAAGGACACAGCUGCAAGUGGCCUGGUCCAGGGAAGUUUCUUUGGUUAUGUGGGCCUGAGCUGCUUCUCCCCUAGCCAGUGAUACAGGGGCAGGUGGGUGGAACUGGCAAGAGGGACCCACCUAUGGGAAGCAGCAUGUUCUGUCAUUUUUGUCUCUGUGGGUUCAAGACUUGCCUUUCCCACUCAGAGAUGCUGGGA